CAUGUGCCUCUCCCUCUCGCUAUUCAGGAAUUUCCAGAACCAGGCUUUCUGUCACAUGGCCCUCCAGGCCCCUGUUCGUUGCCUGAUAUAAAAUGAGGUUCCUCACCAUACCCACUCCAGGAAGAUGUGAAGGUAAGGAGAGCUGAGUGUUCUGUGGCUGUGCUUCUGCUCACCCUGGCUCUGGGACUCACGGCUGGAUUCCCUUCUCUGUCGAGCAUGCGUCAGUAGCACGAAGCUCUGAGCUCUGGCUGGCAAGUGCAGUUUGCUGCCGUCAUCCUGCCCUUCUAUGCUCAGGGGCUCCAUGGUUCCCACACUCCACCCUCCUCCUCAAACUUGUUGUUAGGAGAAAUCUGUCAUCCACCUUUGAGUCUAAGUGAGCCUCCAAAGACUUGAAAGCUGAAAGAUUCUUGGAGUGUUUUGAAUCUCCUCCUU
Non-coding RNA from Rattus norvegicus (Norway rat), 432 nucleotides. NCBI's taxonomy places the organism in Eukaryota, Metazoa, Chordata, Mammalia, Rodentia, Muridae. The record is from RefSeq and is a predicted model, not a curated record.